This 12865-nucleotide long non-coding RNA is filed under the name Capsicum annuum. Its description in RNAcentral is "long non-coding RNA (CANN_LNC007910)". Lineage: Eukaryota; Viridiplantae; Streptophyta; Magnoliopsida; Solanales; Solanaceae. The record is from RNAcentral.
UAACUCUACUAACUACUGAGAUAAAAACAUGAAGUAAUAUAAUAUGUCCCUGGAUAAUGAGGACUCACCACUGCUACUGUACUGGUGAUAAUCUGAGAAUCUAGGUGCGAUCUAGGAAAUAAGCGUCAACACCUAUGAUAUAAGACAUUAUAGCACAAAGAAAAGGUAUGCGAUCAGUACUUUGAAUGUAUUGAUAUGUUAAAUGAGGUAGGAUGAUAUGCAUGGUCUCAUGAAUAGGAAUGAUAAUAAUUAACUGGACAUACAAGUAAACCAUGGAGUACUGAAUAAAGAGCAUGAAAUCUGUAGAUACUGACAAUGCAGGAAAAUCUGUAAAUACUGUGGAUGCAUGACCAAGCAUAUAAUAUGAACUGAGUAAAAUUUGUAAAUUGAUAUACUGAGAUAACUAAAACCUGUAUACUUUGGUAAAACAACACUAAGACUGAAUAACUGAGCUGGGACUAUAACUGAGACUAUAUCUAAGAAUGUGGGAGGGAUAAUCUAACCGACAUUCCCUAAUUUAAGCUAAUCGAGGUCCAAUCUGUAACACCAGUUGGAAGGGUGUUAAUACCGUGCCGUGGAUACUAGCGAUGGCUAUGUGGAUCCACUAAACUGAUAUAAUAUCCAAAGGACUAAAGGUGUUAAGCCUGAACUAACGGGUGACCUCUGCGAGAUAGUUAAGCCUAGUCUGACGGGUGACUACUCAUAUCCUACUCUGGCUACGUAGUUUUGGAGUACAGGGACUGCUACUAACAAAUCUGUCUAUCUGACAGGGAAGCUGCUAUCCCUACACUUGCUCGGUGCUAAAUCCUACUCCCAACUGAAAGACACUGACAUACUAGACUGUUCUGAGUUGAAUAAUUGAUAUCUGACUAUUUUGAUACUGCUCAUAAUAUAAUUUGAAGACAAUUCUGUAAUGUACUGAGGCUAGACUAAAUAAACAGCUAUGGUUUUUGGGUAUUCAAUGCCCCCAGGACUCAAAACAACUAUACUGAAAAGACACUAAAGCUUGAAGGCCAAAACAUGAAGGCUCUUAUUAAAUAAAUCACUCUUGUAGGCAUUUUAUCAAACACUUGUAGUUCAUGGUUUUAAAACAAUCAUAGGAAUGUCAUGGAACUUAUAGGAAUAGCAUGAAUUCAUCAUAAAAACAUUAAAUCAUGGUUUAAUUCAAUAAAUAAUAAUAGUAAAAUAUGGAGGAAUGAAUAAUAACAAUAAUUUCAUGGUAACAUGGUAUAGAAUCAUAGUUCAUGGAGAUUCAUGGGUGAAAUCCCAAUUUAAAACAUAAUAACUUGAAAAGAUCACAAUUUUAUAAUUUUAAAAGGUUGCUUAGACUCCGUGGAUGAAAGGGAUCGAUGGAUGAACAUCUAACAUACCUGGGAUGAUGAAUUUGGAAGGAUUGAUAGAGAGUUCAUGAGAUUUGACCUUGAUUCUUGAGAGCUAGGGUUCUUGUUCUUGAAAAAGGGGAUUUUUAAUUUGAGAAAAAGUGAAUUAUGAUGAGUAUUUAGGUUAAUUAGGGGUUAAAAAUUUCGCAUUUAGGGCGAGUUUAGGGCUUAGAAAAAAGACCCAAAUACCCUUAAAUGAAUUUAGAAACACAAGCUAGAAACUGAAAUCCUGAUUUUUGGCCUUGGCGCGCGGCACCACUAUCACGCCAAACCACUGGAAAAGGGACAACUGGGACCUGGACAAACGCCGCGAUAUGCCACUAUCACGGUAAGCUUGUGGAUGCCAUUUUUGCCAUCUCUGCGAUGCUCCAUGAUCGUGGAGGCCCAUUGGAAAUUGACAAAUGGGAAAUUGGCCUGCUCCGCGAUGUGCUAUGAUCACGGAGUCACACUAACAAUUGAUAAUUGUCAAAUUGACCUAUGGCGUGAUGCUUCAGGAUUGCGGACCCUCACUGGAUUUUGCCAAAUAGGAGAUUGGACUACUCCGCGACACGCUAGAAGUUAAAAUGAUGGGGUUUUACGAUUGAAACUUAAAAUCACCAUAACUUCUUACCCGGUUAUCGUCUUUGGGCGAAUUUUAUAUCAUUAUAAAACUAAUUGACUUUCCUAUGCAAUGGAAGGCUCUAAACUAAAAAAUAAUGAGUAUUUCAAAAUUUUCAUAUAUGAAUACUCAUGUAUUGGGACAUAGAUUAUGCUAGAAAAAUACGGGGUGUUACAAUAUCUCCCCCUUGGGAUCAUUCGUCCCUGAAUGAAACUGGUUAAGCUGAGGGAACUGAUGGACUGAGCUUACAUACUGAAUAUACAUGUUUGAUGCAUGGAAUGCAUGACUAAACUGAUUCAUGAAUGCACGACUGACAUGAACACGAUGUGCUGCUGAAACUGAGCAUGACAGAAAAAAAAUCUUAAGAAGAUUGGUACCUUAUACUGAACCUGGAUUUGCAGAGAAAAAAUGAGGGUACUCGGUCCGCAUAUCUGCUUUUUCUUUCCAAGUGGCUCCCUCAACGGACUGAUUCCGCCAAAGAACUUUGACUAGUGAAACUUCUUUCUUCCUUAGUCUAUGAACUUGAUGAUUAAGAAUUUUGACUGGAACUUUCUCAAUGGAAAGACUCUUCUGAAUAUCUAUACUUUUUAAGUGAAUAACUACAGCUGGAUCACCAAUACACUUUUUCAACAAUGAGACAUUGAACACUGGGUGUACUGAGGUUAAAUUUGAGGGCAACUCUAGCUCUUAAGCUACCUUUCCAAAACGACUGAGGAUUCUGAAGGGACCGACAUAUCGGGGACUGAGUUUUUCUUUCUAGCCGAAUCUCCUCACUCUCUUCUUGGGAGAGAUUUUUAAGAACACAAAAUCACCAACCUCAAACUCGAGAUCCUUUCUCGUCACAUCUGCAUAUGAUUUGUAUCGGCUUUGGGCAGCCCUAAGUCUUUCUCUGAUCAACUGAACCUUUUCUAACGUAUCAAACACCAAGUCAGGCCCUACAACUGCGGCCUCACCUACUUCAAACCAACCAAUUGGAGAUCUACAUCUCCUACCAUAGAGAGCCUCAAACGAAGCCAUACGAAUACUAGAAUGAUAGCUGUUAUUGUAUGAGAAUUCAAUCAAAGACAAAUGGUCAUCCCAACUACCCUUAAAAUCAAUAAUGCAUGCUCUCAGCAUAUCCUCAUAAGUCUAAAUGGUCCUUUUUGCUUGACCAUAUGUAUGAGGGUGGAAGGUUGUACUGAGGUGGACUUGGGUACCAAGACCUUUUUGGAACGCUUUCCAGAAGUGAGAGGUAAACUGAGUACCUCUAUCUGAGAUGAUCAAUAAGGGAACACCGUGCAACCUAACCAACUCUUUGAGAUAGAGACUGGCAUAGUCCUCGACGGAGUAAGAGGUAUGGAUUGGCAAGAAAUGAGUUGAUUUGGUCAUCCUGUCUACGAUUACCCAAAUAGAGUCGUGCUGAUAAUAGGUACGAGGCAAACCUGUCAUAAAGUCCAUGUUCAUUUCCUUCCAUUUCCAUAUGGGAAUAUUGAACUCCUGUAUGAACUCACUAGGCUUCUGGUGCUCAACCUUAACUUACUGGCAUGUAGAGCACUUAGCUACAAACUCUGUAAUAUCUCUCUUCAUCCCACUCCACCAAUAGAUCUCCCAUAAAUCGUGGUACAUCUUAGUGGCCCAUGGAUGAAUAGAGUACUGCACCAUGCACUUCUGCAAGAAUUCAUUGCCUCAACUCAUCUACACCAGGCAUACACAAUCUACCCUGACAAUGCAAAACACCAUCUCCCUCUUGGGAGAAAACCUCUAUUUUCUGAUCUCUGAUUGAUUCUUUCAACUUAACUAAACUAGGAUAUCUAUCCUGCUUUUUCUUCACCUCAGUAACUAGAGAUGAUUCUGAGCUACUCUACACCCAUACACUACCUUCUGCUGAAUUGACUAAGCGAAUACCUAGUCGGGCAAGCUGAUGAGUUAUACUACCCAUAGACAUUCUACUGAGAGCAUCAGCCACUACAUUGGCCUUGCCCGGAUGAUACAGAAAACUCAUGUCAUAAUCCUUCAAUAACUCUAACCAUCUUCUCUGAUGCAAAUUCAAAUCUUUCUAAGAGAACACAUAGUGAAGGCUUCUGUGAUCUGUGAACACAUCUACAUGCACCCCAUACAAGUAAUGCCUCCAAAUCUGUAAGGCGAAUACUACCUCUACUAGCUCAAGAUCAUGAGUUGAAUAAUUCUUUUCAUGAGGUUUAAGCUGUUUGGAGGCGUAUGCUAUGACCUUACCUCUCUGCAUGAGGACACAACCCAAACCUACUCUGGGUGCAUCACAGUACACAAUAAAACUAUCUAAACUAUCUGGUAGAGUAAGAACUAGGGCUGACAUGAGUCGAGUCUUCAACUCCUGAAAAAUUAUCUUGUAUGAAUCUGACCACUGAAACUUAACUUUCUUCUGAGUCAAUCUGGACAUGGGGGAUGCAAUAAAAGAAAACCCUUCAACAAACCGACGGUAAUAGCUAGCUAAACCCAAGAAACUCCUAAUAUCUGAUGGAGAGAAGGAUCUAGGCUAGUUUCUCACCGCAUCGGUCUUUUGAGGAUUAACUCUAAUGCCAUCACCAAAAAUAAUAUGGCCAAGGAAAGCUACUGAUCUUAGCCAGAAUUCACACUUAUUGAAUUUAGCGAACAACUGAUGGGCUCUAAGAGUUUGCAACACUAUUCUGAGAUGGUCUGCAUGAUCAUUUUUGCUAUGGGAGUAAAAAGAAAUAUCAUCAAUGAAUACUAGGACAAACAUGUCCAAGUACUGCUUGAACACUUAGUUCAUCAAGUCCAUGAAGUCUGCUGGGGCAUUAGUAAGACCAAAGGACAUGACUAGAAAUUCAAAGUGACCAUACUGAGUUUGAAAAGCUAUUUUUAGAAUAUCACAUUCUCUGACUCUAAGCUGAUAAUAGACUGAUCUGAGGUCUAUCUUGGUAAAGUAACUGGCACCCUGAAGUUGACCGAAUAAGUCAUCGAUUCUAAGAAGUGGAUAUUUAUUCUUGACUGUGACCUUGUUCAACUGAUGGUAAUUUAUGCACAUUCUGAGAGAACCAUCUUUCUUACGCACGAAUAGAAUAGGUGUGUCCUACGGGGAGACACUAGGCCUGAUGAAUCCCUUAUCUAAGAGAUCCUUCAACUGUUCUUUCAGUUCUUUGAGUUUAGCUGGAGCCAUUCUGUAUGGCAAAAUAGAUAUAGGUUGAGUAUUUGGGAAAAGGCCUAUUCUGAAGUCGAUUUCCUUUUCGGGAGAAACUCCGGGAAGAUCUUUAGAAAAUAUAUCUAAGAAUUCAUCUACUACUGGAACUAACUCAAGAGCUGGAGUUUCUGAGUUAGAGUCUUUGACUCGUACAAGAUAGUAGACACAUCUCUUGGAUAUCUUCUUUCUGGCUCUAAGGUAUGAAAUCAACUGACCCCUAAGAGUUGUAGUACUACCUCUCUUUGGGAUGGUUCAUUUGGGAACUAAAAAUUAACUAUUCUAUUUCUACAAUUAACUGGGCAUAGCAUGAGUGGAGCCAAUCCGUGUUGAGAAUGACGUCACAAUCAAUCAUCUCUAACUCCACGAGAUCAACUAAGGUAAAUUUUUGAGAUAUUGUGACCGGAAAGUUCCUAUAUACCUGUCAGGCUACAAUGGAAACGCCUACUGGGUAGACACUGAAAAGGGCUCUGCUAGAGUUUCGGGACUGACUCCGAAAUUAACAGCUAUAUAUGGAGUUACAAAAGAACGAGAAGCUCCAGGGUCUAGUAAAGCAUAAAUAUGUAAGUGAAAGACCUACAACGUACCAGUAACUACGUCAGGAAAAUUUUCCAGAUCUUAGCACGAAUGAAGAGCAUAUAAUCUGUUCAGAUGCUGACCACUGGUAGCACUGAAAGCAGCACCCUGUUGAGUUGGGUGGUCAAUGGAACUGAUGACUAAUGGGACUGGCCCUACUGGCGCUCAUCCCUACCUUUCUGAGCAACUACCUGACACUCUCGAAUCUGAGGCCUGGAUUACCACACUCGAAGCACACAUCACUACCUGCUCUACACUCACCCUGAUGGUGUCUGUCAUACUUCUAACAUAAAGGAUUAGUACGAGCACUGCUAACACUGACCUAGGACUUAGAGCCUGGUACUCUAUCUCUAUUGUCAUUUCUGAAUUUGGGUACUGGGGCACUGGCUAAAGAAGGUACUGGGGCUAGAUACAUCUGAGGAAAUUGAGAAAAGUUACCACCUUAUGACUUUGGCUAAUUGAAAUUAAAACUAUCCAUCCUAGCUCUCUUGUUUCCUCUCUUCCUCUCCUUAAUCUUUUGCUACUCUAUUUGUUGAGCAUGGACUAUUAGCCUAUACAAAUCCAUCUUACUAAUCAACAUUGCGGUCCAACACUCCUUGACCACACUAUCAGAUACGCCAGGCAUAAACUUACUCAUCUUUGACCUACUACCAGCUAGCACAUGAGGAGCUUAUCUAGCUAACUAAGUGAACUUAAGAGAAUACUCCCUCACACUCAUUGUACCUUGCCUCAAAUUAAUAAAUUCUAACACUUUGUCCUUCCUCAACUCUAAUGGAAAGAAUCUAUCCAAGAAAGUAGUGGCAAACUCUUCCCAUUCUAUAGGUCCUAUAUCAAUAACUCUAUCAACUUUCCACUGCUUAAACCAAGUAUGGGCUAUAUCCUGCAAUUCAUAUGCAGCCAACUCGACACUCGGACUAGACGUCACCACCAUAACAUCCGUGACCUUUUGAACCAUAUGUAAGAAUUUUUGUGGAUCCUCUUCAAAGUUGGAUCCCUUGAAAGAAGGAGGAUUCAUCUGAGUAAAAUCCUAAAUUCUGGUAGCAGUAGUAUUGGCCACUGGAUUGGACAAAACAUCAGCUGGUCGUUUAUUUUGUGCUGCUACUGAAUUGGCUAGAGUAGUGAACGCAACCCUGAAUUCUGUGUGAGAGACAUGCUUGUACAGAGGAUAUUUUUAGAUGAGCUAAGGGGUUGGCUGAGUUCUUAUUCUUCUUUCGUUCUUUUUGGGAGUCACACGGAAGGAAAAAAUGAAUUAGAUUGAGAGUUUAACUUGGGCUAAUGCUCACUCGCAUGACAUGAAUACUGAAAAAAGGGAAACUUUUUCCUAAACGUCUUAUAGCCUCUCGACCAUAAGUGUGGCGCGAUACACACCCAUGCACAAGACUCACCUCGAUGUGGCUUUCAGACUUCCUAAGACACUUUAAAACUUUAGGCUCUGAUACCAAGUUUGUAACGACCCGAGACUACCCUCUAGUCGUUACACGGUACUUACAGUCCAAAGAGAUCACAAGCUAACCGAUGAGCUGGUACCUGCUAUGAGCACUAAAUAAUAUAAUCAUGAAUGCAGAAGAAUAACUGAAAUGCCAUAAGGUUUUAAUAAUGAAAUAACUAAUGAAUUAUGAAUCUGAUAAAAAUAGUAAAAUCUGAAUAGUCUGAAUAACUAAUUGUAGUGUCUGAAAAGCCUCUAAACUGAAUACUAUGAGUUGAUGGGAUAGGCCCCAACUAACUCUACUAACUACUGAGAUAAAGACAUGAAGUAAUAUAAUCUGUCCCCAGAUGAUGAGGACUCACCACUGCUACUGUACUAUUGAUAAUCUAAGAAUCUAGGUGCGAUCCAGGAACUGAGCAUCAACACCUAUGAUAUGAGACAUCAUAGAGCAAAGAAAAGGUAUGCGAUCAGUACUUUGAAUAUACUAGUAUGCUAAAUAAGGUAGGUUGAUAUGCAUGGUCUUAUGAAUAUAAAUGAUAAUAGUUAACUGGACAUACAUGUAAAGCAUGGAGUACUGAAUAAAGAGCAUGAAAUCUGUAGAUACUGACAAUGCAGGAAAAUCUGUAAAUAAUGUGGAUGCAUGAUCAAGCAUAUAACAUGAACUGAGUAAAAUUUGUAAAAUGAUAUACUAAGAUAACUGAAACCUGUAUGCUUUGUUCAAAAAACACUAAGACUGAAUAACUAAGAUGGGACUGUAACUGAGACUAUAUCUGAGACUGUAGGAGGUAUUAUCUAACCGAUAUUUCCUAAUUUGAGCUAAUAGGUUGGAAGGGUGUUAGCACCGUGCCACGGGUACUAAAGAUGGCUGUAUGGAUCCACUAAACUGAUAUAAUGUCCAAAGGACUAAGGGUGUCAAGACUGAACUGACGGGUGACCCCUACAAGAUAGUCAAGCCUGGUCUGACGGGUGACUAUUUAUAUCCUACGAUGGCUAUGUAGUUCUAGAGUAUAGGUACUGCUACUAAUGACUCUGUUUAUGUGAUAGAGAAGUCAUCAUCCCUACACUUGCUCGGUGCUAAAUCCUACUCCCAACUGAAAGACACUGAGAUACUAGAUUGUUCUGAGUUAAAUAAUUUAUAUCUGACUAUUUUGAUAAUGCUCAUAAUAUAAUCUGAAGAGUAUUCUGUAAUGUACUGAGGCUAGAUUAAAUAAACAGCUAUGGUUUUUGGGUAUUCAAUACCCUCAGGACUCAAAGCAAUAAUACUACAAAGAUACUAAAGCUUGAAGGUCAAAACAUGAAGGCUCUUAUUAAAUAAAUCACUCUUUUAGGCAUUUUAUCAAACACUUGUAGUUCAUGGUUUUAAAACAAUCAUAGAAAUGUCAUGGAACUUGUAGGAAUAGCAUGAAUUCAUCAUAAUAGCAUUAAAUCAUGGUUUAAUUCAAUAAAUAAUAAUAUUAAAGCAUGGAAGAUUGAAUAAUAACAAUAAUUUCAUGGUAACAAGGUAUAGAAUCAUAGUUCAUGGAGUUUCAUGGGUGAAAUCCCAAUUUAAAACACAAUAACUUGAAAAGACCAUAAUUUUAUAAUUUAAAAAGGUUGCUUGGACUCCGUGGAUGAAAGAGAUCCAUGGAUGAAUAUCUAACAUACCUGGGAUGAUGAAUUUGGAAGGAUUGAUGGAGAGUUCUUGAGAUUUGGCCUUGAUUCUUGAGAGCUAAGGUUUCUUGUUCUUGAAAGAGGGGAUUUUUAAUUUGAGGAAAAAUGAAUAAUGAUGAGUAUUUAAGUCAAUUAGGUAUUAAAUUUCGUGUUUAGAGAGAGGUUAAGGCUUAUGAAAAAUACCCAAAUACCUUUAAAUGAAUUUAAAAACACAAGCUGGAAACUGAAAUCUCGAUUUUUGGCCUUGGUGCAACGCGCCACUAUCGCACCAAGCCACCGAAAAAGGGACAACUGGGAUCUGGACAAACGCCGUGAUACGCCACCAUCGCUGUAAGCCUGUGGAUGCCAUUUUGGCCAUCUUCACAACGUGCCAUGAUCGCGGAGGCCCAUUGAAAAUUAACAAACGAGAAAUUGGCCUGCUUUACGUGCGCCAUGAUCGUGGAGUCAUACGGAAAAUCGACAAUUGUCAAAUUGACCUAUAGUACGAUGCGCCAGGAUUGCGGACCCUCACUAGAUUUUUCCAAAUGGGAUAUUGGCCUGGUCUGCAACGCGCUAGAGGUUAAAAUGACGGGGUUUUGCAAUUGAAACUUAAAAUCACCAUAACUUCUUACCCGGUUAUCGGAUUUGGAUGAAUUUUAUAUCAUUGGUAAACUAAUUGAAUUUUUUAUGUAAUGGAAGGCUCUAAACUAAAAAAUAAUGAGUAUUUUAAAAAUUUCAUAUACUAAUACUCAUGUAUUGGGACUUAGAUUAUGCUAGGAAAAUACGGGGUGUUACAAUUAUCCGAACUUUUAAAUGAAAUGCAUUGUUGGCCCUCAAGAUCCAGUUGAAGAUGAUAUGCACUUGGAUUCAUUUCAUUAAUAGGGAAUGCAAAUAUUCUCCAUGAAGCCUCAGGUGGUGAUACCCACCUAGCUGUUUGAUAUUCUUUUAUCUCAUCUAUCUCUAUAUUUGUAUCAUUUGAAUGUAUAUAAAAUCCUAUUUUAUCAUGUCCUUUGCAAAUGUACUUAUAAAUAUAUUUGACAAUUUUAAUGUGUGAGAAAAUCUCUACAUUGAUAUGACAAUUGAAUUUACAAAGUAAAACUGGAUUAUAAGGAACAACCCAUGUAUUAUCAAGAAAGUGUCCUCUAAUUUUAUCAGUUUUCUUGUAUUUCAUCUUCUAUAUAUUCGGUAUGAAUUUUUCUCUUUAUUUGUUUGUUAUGCAAAAUCCCUAGGAUACUUAAACUUACAGUAACUCUUUUUCUUCAUACAAGAAUUUGUUGGAUUCAAAGUACCACAUGGACCAUGCAUCAUGUGUUGUGUAACAAGAGAGUAUAGAUAGGGAUUUGUUUCCUCAUCAGGCAACUCAGCACACACAAAUCAAUCAUAUUCUUCGGGAGUUAGUAAUUUGUAAUUCUUAUCAAGUAUGAUAAGAAAAUAAGCAUGCAGAAGUCCUCGUUUUUGAAAUUCCACUAUAUACAUAAAUGCUGCAACUUUUUCAAAUAUAUGUCUUUUCAGAAUAUCUUUUUUCAAUUCUUCUAACUUUUCUCUAACUUCUCGGCUAAGCAGAUCAGGUUUAUUUUGUGCUUCACCUGUUGGCAAGAGAUUUUUUUCUAUUUCAGACCAAGAGGGAUUACAUGUCAUAGUCAGAAAUAUAUAUGAUUUUUCAAAACGUUGUACUAAUGCGAUAGCAUCCAUAUAUCGUCGACGCAUAUCCCUUGGGCCUCCUAUAAAGCUUAGAGGAAUUAUGCAUUAUUUUUUUAUUUUUGACGCUUUUCUUUAUCCACGUUGUAAGACAUCUAAGAUUCCUUCUAAUAUAUCUACUCUAAAUAAAUCUUGAUUAAAAAAUGCAAAGUUUAAUCUUUGACUUUCAAUUUUUAUCUAUUCAUCUACUAUGUAUUGCUGGAAUAAUCUUCCUGAAUGUAAGAUUAUAUUUACAUCAUCUCUUAUUUAUAGUUCGUAACAAUAAUAUUCACGACAAGAAACAGUGUCUCUUUUUCGCUUUCCUUUUUGCAUUACUUCAGCUUCCAUAUUAAGAAGUUCAUUGAUUGAAGACAUAUUCAUUACAUUUGGUAAUUGUUCUUGCUCAUAAUAUAUUCGAGUACAUGUGAUAGAAGAGUGCUUAAUUUUUUUAAUACCACAAUGCCAGCCAUUUUGACCGUAUGAAUAUAACAGAGGAUAUUGCAAAGGAUCAUAAUAGCCAUAAUAAUGACUUUUAUUAGUUUUCGUAUAUAUUCAGAUAUGUGGUGUAGAAAUAGAAUUAUUAAUAUCUUGUUCAACCCAUAUGCCUGCAACUUCAGUUACAGUCAGUAAGUUAUAUAUUUGCUGACCUAAACCAGAAUCACACUUAAGUGCAAUAUAAAAAUCAGAUAGAUGAGGAACAUCAAUCAAAGAUUUUAAAAAACAUUGAGUAUGGAUUGUUUUUUAAUAUGUCCAUCAAGUUUCUAACAAUACACUCAUUUAGUUUAUUUGAACAUGCCAUUCAAUUUCUUACUUCAUUUUCACUAUCAAAGAAAUAUAACUGUAAAUUUUUACCUUUUUGAUCCACGGGAAUCAGGUCAUUAAUGAGAUGAUACAUUUGUCCUUGAACCUGAAAAGUAUAAAUAUCUUUGUUUCUUUUUGCUAACUCUUUGUCAUAAGAUACUCCGAGAGAGGUAAAUGCAAAUAUAUUAUUGUAUGUUCUAAUAUAAGUUCGAAAUUAUUUUGAUUCCUCUGUAUUUUGUAGAUAAAGUUUUUUCAAUUUUAUUGAAAUUUCAUGUGCAGUUAAUUGAAUAGAACCAUUGUUACAACAAAAUGCAGGAGACUCAAAUUCAAAUCUUUUUGCUUUACAGAAUUUACAUUUUGGAACAUCUUUUAAUUUUAUAUAACUCAUUUGUAAUUACGUAAUAGUUGAGCAUCUAGGUUCUGUGAAACCAUGCCCUGUAGUUGACAAAUCCCAAAUAGGACAUACUGAUUUUAGUAUAUGAUAUUAUUGUUAAUAAAAAUUAUUAAAUAGUUUUUGUGUAAUUACUACUAAUUACCUUAUUUAUAUAUACCUGUUUCGAAUGGAAUUGUUGAUUCUUUUUUGAGAAAAUAUCUUUGUUCAGUAGUCACAUUAAUAGAAUUGAAAGACGAUGCCAAAACUGAAUCAUUGUUUGCUGAAUUUUCAGACAAUCGUCAUCUUUUUAACUCUGCUCUUCUUGCUCGUCGAUGUGUCAAAAGAACCUUUUUUUUUUCUCAUUUGUCAUUAAUCUAUAUAAUUCACGUCUUCUAGUAUUUUUAUCAGCAUUUAAUUUUUUGAUUGUUUGAUCAGUUUUAGAAUCUUCAGUACACGACAUUUUUUGCGGUCCAAAUAUUUUUUAUGAAUUCUUGAAAGAAUAAAAAAAAAAUUAAAUUUUAGUACAUAUUCGUACCAAGUAAUAAUUACAUUUGUGUAAGGCAUGUGACUUUAUAAAAAAAAUAAAAGAUAAUAGAGAAAGAUAAACAUUUCAUACUUUAUAUUAUAAAGGAAUCAUGGCAAAAAAAUAUUUGCAAUUCAAUAUAGUAAUUUAAGUAAGUUGAACUUACCACACAAUCAAAUGUAGAUACAGACACAAAGAUAGCUAUCACCAAAGAGAUGAAAUUGCAAAGUAGACAGUUGGAAAUGUAUACAUUAGCUUAUAAUUUUUAAAAAAAUAUUCAAAAUAUACCGAAGAAAAAAUUAGUCUAAUUAGUCUAUCUUAAUGAGCAGAUCUAAUCUUACCAUCAUUGAACUAACCUCUUUUUUUUAUACAAGCAGAUUCUGAAAUUAAAAUAUAUAUAUAUAUAUAUAUAUAUUUUAUACCAAAAAACGUAUACGUACAACCAAAGCACAUAAAAAUUUUGUGAUGGAAUAAUUAAAUAUCCCUUAAAAAAAGAAUAAGAAUUGAAUUUCUAUUCUGAGAGGAGAAAUAAAUAUAAAUAUAUAAACAAAGAAAGAUAUAAAAACUUACAAGUUUACGAGAGAAGAGCACUUUUUUUUUGGGGUGGGGUGGGGUGAGAAAAGAUGAGUGAGCAAUAUGGAGAGUGUAUUUAUUUGUCUCAUCAGUUCUGAAAUCUGUCAAAUGCGGUACUUGAUUUAUUAUUUUUCAUGUGGUGGAAAUAAUGGAUACAUG